AUAAAGAGGAUAUAAAUAUGUGUAGCAUUGAAUGUCCUGCGCAGAAACUACAUAAGAAAAUUCAUGUUUCUGAUAUUACAGAGUAAAAUUGUUAAUUCAUAAAAAAAAUAAUUCUUCAUUUCCAAAAUCAAAUUUUAAAAAAAUCCAAGUCCACUUAAACUUAAUACUUAGGUUUGGAAAGAUGCAAACACAAUUUGAUUUAAAUUUAGAAGCAAAUGAAUGCUUAGCAGAAAAGAUUCAAGCAUUCAAAGCAGACGAGAAAAAUAUGAAGGAAAUAAAUAAGUUUAUAGAUGGAGUCCUAUUAGAUGCGGAGCAUCAAGUUCAAAAACAUCAAAUAGAAGAGUGUGAAAAGAAUGGUAAUAAUAUUCAUCGUAGGAUUGUUGCACGAGCAAGAGGAUUUUGUUUGCGUGUAAUUGAAACCAUUUCAAACUGUGCAGCAUCAACGAGCAUAUCUCAUUUACCUCUUAGAAAAUCUUAAUGAUUUUAUAAAUUUAAGAUAUUUAAUUUUAUUUAUUGAUUAGAUAUUUAAAUCUACUUUAACGUAUUUUAAUUGACAAUCUAUACCACUCGGUGGUCCUCAAUGUAGUUAAAUGUAAAAAUACAUUAUAAAAAUACAUAUAUGUAAUGUAAUAAAAAUAAGCAUUAAAUUAGUAGAUUAAAGUAUCACGAUCACCUGAUUAUUUGGUUUGUCUGAAAAAUACAUUAAAAAUUUUGUUAGGUUUAAAACUA
Molecule: long non-coding RNA, 729 nt
Organism: Culicoides brevitarsis
Lineage: Eukaryota; Metazoa; Arthropoda; Insecta; Diptera; Ceratopogonidae
Exons: 3
Source: RefSeq, a predicted model, not a curated record